UCUUUUUCAUUCUCUGAUAACUUCACUGACUUCAUCGUCGACCUAUUUACCUUGAAAAUUGAAGGAAAAAAAUGGCGGAUGUCUGCAACUCUUCAACCUUUUUCCAGCAAUUUGAGAAGAAACAAAAAAUUAUUAAUGGAGGAUAAACGCAUUUUGUCUUAAAAAAAAUUCACAUUGCACAAAAAAAAAAGAGGACUCCAAAUAGAAAUAGUGAUUUAGUCCCCUUGAGGAGAUGUUUAUUACAGUAAUGGAAAAGGCCUUCCUGUUAGGUUGAAUGAGAGAAUGACUGCCCCAACUAAAAGAGGAAGAAGCGUU
This 315-nucleotide long non-coding RNA is filed under the name Nicotiana benthamiana. Its description in RNAcentral is "long non-coding RNA (NBEN_LNC006392)". Lineage: Eukaryota; Viridiplantae; Streptophyta; Magnoliopsida; Solanales; Solanaceae. The record is from RNAcentral.